GAGGGCAACCAAACACGGCCGUGGAUGCAAAUUGCAACGCGCCGCGCUGUAAAAUUGUUUUUAAACCCCCGGGCCUGAACCAGAACCAGCUGAACCAGAACCAGCUGGGCCUGACACACCCCACCAGCUCCUCUCCGGCAACGAGGGAGGCUAACGAGUGCGCGCUCCGGCUGCCCUGAGCUUUUUAUGUUACCAUGGUGUUUUAGCAAUGAAGUACUUCCGCUUCCAACAAUCGUAGGCAAAUUAGACACAAGAAUUAUCUUACAUAUAUAUAGAUAUUCAAAUGGAAAUUUACUGUAUAGUACUUGGUACAAGAAAAAAGGAUCACAUGUGGCGACAGAACCAGGAAUAGCCUGCGAUGCUGAUGCCGGUGACAGAGAUGCCACCUGGGGUGCUGCAGCCGCCAGCAAGCUCGCUGGCCGGGACGACGGCGAGGGGCGCGGUGGGUUCGGGCGUCGGGGACACGGCCCGUUUGCAGCAGCGGGCGGCAGUGGUGCCAUUUGCUUCACCGUCAGGGCACCUUGGCACGGGACGUCGGUGAGCCGGAGAGAGGAUUGCCGUGGGAAGUGAGCACAAGAGGAGGAGAUUCAGGUGAUCCAAUUUGUUGAGUGAGGGAGAGAUGGCGAAUGGAUGAGGCACGAAGGAACAAUAAAUAAAAUGGCGGGCGGCUGCGCGCCAUGGAAUCGAUUUGGCGCGAGAUGGAGAAGGAUUUCGCGCGGAAAGGAGGCAUUGGCGCAUGAGAUCUGGCGAGGAGAAAAUUUGCUCCCUCUCGCAACGACUGCGCGUACAACGGAAGCGAAGCCGUCUCAUCUAGCGAAAAUUUCGUCGAUGAGCUCGUUGUUUCAGGAGACAAUGACUUUUCUCUCUCUUCUCUCCCUCUCCCCUCCACGUCAUCAAAAAUCUUAGAUGGCUCUACAUGAGAUCACCUAUGAGACUAGGUGAUGUGUACCAAUGUACUUGCCCUAAUCUCGCUGAAGUUGAAGAAGGCUUCUUUGGGUAGUUUGGGUCGAAUUCAUGCCGCUUCAGGUGAUUGAUGCUUGAUUUGUCACCCGAGCGAUAUACAGCCACGCUGCCAGGGCGCU
Panicum virgatum (switchgrass) is the source of this 1082-nucleotide long non-coding RNA. RefSeq lists it as uncharacterized. The record is from RefSeq and is a predicted model, not a curated record. The transcript has 2 exons. Lineage: Eukaryota; Viridiplantae; Streptophyta; Magnoliopsida; Poales; Poaceae.